AUACUUACCUGGCAGGCGAGAUUCCAUGAUUACGAAGGUAGUUUUCCCAGGGCGAGGCUUAUCCCUUGCACUCGGGAUGUGCUGACCCCUGCGAUUUCCCCAAAUGUGGGAAACUCGACUGCAUAAUUUGUGGUAGUGGGGGACUGCGUUCGCACUCUCCCCUG
Small nuclear RNA from Echinops telfairi (small Madagascar hedgehog), 164 nucleotides. Its record names the gene U1. It matches the Rfam family "U1 spliceosomal RNA". From Rfam's summary of the family: U1 is a small nuclear RNA (snRNA) component of the spliceosome (involved in pre-mRNA splicing). Its 5' end forms complementary base pairs with the 5' splice junction, thus defining the 5' donor site of an intron. Lineage: Eukaryota; Metazoa; Chordata; Mammalia; Afrosoricida; Tenrecidae. The record is from Ensembl.